Molecule: long non-coding RNA, 616 nt
Organism: Esox lucius (northern pike)
Lineage: Eukaryota; Metazoa; Chordata; Actinopteri; Esociformes; Esocidae
Exons: 2
Source: RefSeq, a predicted model, not a curated record
GGAAGAGUAGUAAACGCUGGCAUAGUGAAGGUCAUCCUGGUUGUCUGUGUCUGCUGUCUGUUGUGAUAGAAAUCUAAAGUCAGAACCCUGUAAGGCAGGACUGGAGUCUCCCUGAUUGGACAAGAGGACAACAUGAGAAAAUGUUCCACAAAGGAACACAUACUGUAUAUAUUUUCUCUGACAGACUCACCUGUAUAUUGUCUGCUGUGUAUCUGGUAUGAGCAGUGGAUUUGGAUUUCUUCCUCCUGUUGUGUGAAUGAAUGUAUUAAGUUAGUGAAGUAUCUGAGUAACUGGGUAAAAUAAUGGAAAUCAUAUUAAUGAUACCUCACCUGAACCAGAUGAAUCCAGAGAGACAGAGGAUGACAACCAGAACAACCACUGUGAUUCCUACAGUUUUAUUCACAACAGAAGUCUGUUUCCCUAAAAUACAGUGAAGAUUUGGUUUUACAUAGAACAUUAGAAAUAAACAUAUGAAAUGUAUCCAAUACUUAAGUGAUCUCAUAAGCCAACACAGGCUGUAAUUAAACAGUAUACCCAAAGUGAAAAUAAGUAUUUAUAAUAAAAAUAUGCUUGAAACAUAAUUUUGAAUUGAGGGAUUAAACUUUGCCUGAUACAA